Molecule: long non-coding RNA, 1087 nt
Organism: Myotis davidii
Lineage: Eukaryota; Metazoa; Chordata; Mammalia; Chiroptera; Vespertilionidae
Exons: 2
Source: RefSeq, a predicted model, not a curated record
GCAAACCUGCCCAAGUCAUGCUAUACAGGCACGAAAAAAAAAAAUGUCUUGCAUUGCUGGUGCUUAAGUUUUUGUAGGAAAGGAGAUACUAGUUAAAUAAAAAAGCUUUGGUUUCUUAGAAAAUGAAGUUGUUGCCAGGUCAUGGUUUGAUUGAUGGUCAGGGCACAUGCCCAGGUUGGGGGCUCGAUCCCGAGUGAGGUGUGUGCUGGAGGAAGCUGAUGUAUGUUCAUUCUCAUUGAUGUUUCUAUUUUACUUUGCCUCUCAAAAAGUCAAAAAAAGUAUAUUUUACUAGUAUAUAUUUUAAAAAGUUGUAAGUAAAUGCAAACACAGGGGAGAUAAUUUGGAAAGUGGAUGGAUUAUAUAUCUUCAUUAUGGAGGGUAGGGGCCUCAGUAAAUGGGGUGUCAUCAUCAUCUUUCCUCCCAUGUAAUACUUCUUAAAGACUUGUGGAUCUGCUAGAGUGUGGAUUUAAACAAUGGGCAAACAUCCCCAAAGUUCUGCCUUCCUGGGUUUCAGCAAUGGUUUUCCCGAAAGCUCUAGACAUGGUUGUAAGUUUCAGAGCAUGUGCUACUUCAUUAAGAAUAUGGACAUGGGUGUGUGACAUGAAGGACUUCUCACUGCUUUAGGCCAUGGUGUUUCUAUUUAAAACCAAUGGAAAUAAUUUGAAAUUCACUUUUGAAAUGGCAUAUCAUUUUCCUGCUAUUCAAACAGAGUGACACAAUUUGUGUACCUUUUGAAACGUUUGAGUUCCUCCCGGUUGACGAAAGUUCUGGUCAUUUGCACAAUUGUACACAUAUGGGUUUUCUGUAAAUAGAAUGAUUCCUGUGCAAGUCCAACGUGGUUUUGUGGUUAAAACACCAGGAAGCCAUUGAUGUUUAGAGGACAGUGAUCUAAGGAAAAAUUGAGAGUAUCAGGAAAGCAGGUAGAUUUGAUAUCGUGGAAGUGGGACAUUUUCUGUGCCUUUGAUAAGAGGAGUAGCUGAAAGUUUUUUGUUUCAACAGAAGGCACCAAGCCGUCCAUGUUCAUUUUUGCUGUUUCCAGGGGUCAUUUCCAUGUUUACACUUCCAGGAGAUGUUAUGAAACAUGGGG